Molecule: ribosomal RNA, 170 nt
Filed under: uncultured rumen bacterium
Lineage: Bacteria
Description: partial 16S ribosomal RNA
Rfam family: Bacterial small subunit ribosomal RNA
Source: RNAcentral
UACGGGAGGCAGCAGUGGGGGAUAUUGCACAAUGGGCGAAAGCCUGAUGCAGCAACGCCGCGUGAGGGAAGAAGGUUUUCGGAUUGUAAACCUCUGUCCAAAGGGAAGAAACAAAUGACGGUACCUUUGGAGGAAGCUCCGGCUAACUACGUGCCAGCAGCCGCGGUAAU